CCAGACUCCUACGGGAGGCAGCAGUGGGGAAUAUUGCACAAUGGGGGAAACCCUGAUGCAGCAACGCCGCGUGAGUGAAGAAGUAUUUCGGUAUGUAAAGCUCUAUCAGCAGGGAAGAAAAUGACGGUACCUGAGCAAGAAGCCCCGGCUAACUACGUGCCAGCAGCCGCGGUAAUACGUAGGGGGCAAGCGUUAUCCGGAUUUACUGGGUGUAAAGGGAGCGUAGACGGCAGCGCAAGUCUGGAGUGAAAUGCCGGGGCCCAACCCCGGAACUGCUUUGGAAACUGGCGAACUAGAGUGCGGGAGGGGUAAGCGGAAUUCCUAGUGUAGCGGUGAAAUGCGUAGAUAUUAGGAGGAACACCGGUGGCGAAGGCGGCUUACUGGACCGUAACUGACGUUGAGGCUCGAAAGCGUGGGGAGCAAACAGGAUUAGAUACCCCCGUAUA
This 446-nucleotide ribosomal RNA is filed under the name uncultured bacterium. Its description in RNAcentral is "bacterial SSU rRNA". It matches the Rfam family "Bacterial small subunit ribosomal RNA", at positions 331 to 794 of the family's 1533-position model. The record is from RNAcentral.